Molecule: small nucleolar RNA, 72 nt
Organism: Anolis carolinensis (green anole)
Lineage: Eukaryota; Metazoa; Chordata; Lepidosauria; Squamata; Anolidae
Gene: SNORD24
Rfam family: Small nucleolar RNA SNORD24
About the family: U24 is a member of the C/D class of snoRNA which contain the C (UGAUGA) and D (CUGA) box motifs. C/D box snoRNAs have been shown to act as methylation guides for a number of RNA targets.
Source: Ensembl
AGCAAAGGAUGCAAGCGAAUAUUUGCUAUCUGAGUGGCACUGCUGACAAGGCUCAUCCACCAAGAUCUCUGA